This 1535-nucleotide small RNA is filed under the name Spisula solidissima (Atlantic surf clam). RNAcentral describes it as "cnRNA142". Lineage: Eukaryota; Metazoa; Mollusca; Bivalvia; Venerida; Mactridae. The record is from RNAcentral.
UCGUGUUAACACCAGAAUGUACCUGUUACCACGAGAGGUCAAAGGAAAUAACCCUACAUAAUCAAUAGCUUAUGUAUCCCAUGGCGCUCCACUUUUCAAAUGUCCCAUAGGUGCUUUAGGAAGCUUGUGUGGAAGUUUGUCUGCUUGACAUGUAUCACAUUUUCCCACAAACAGGUUAAUGUCCUCCUUCCUAUUAAACCAGUAAUAAUGUUGUUUGGCCUUUUAUGCUGUCUUCUUGGUUCCUAAAUGGCCAGACAGCACUGAAGAAUGUAUUUGGUGAAGGAUCUCUUCUCUUUGGAACCAACAGUUGUUUUUAUUCACCAGUGCCAUUCAUCUUGACAAAUGUCUUAAACACUGCACCGCUUACCAAUUGCAGGUUAUCCCACUGAAUCCAGUAAUAUAUUGUUGCAGGCCCCCCAGUCGCCAUAUCAUCACUUGAUGGUUUCUCACCGGUUUUCAUGGCCAAUAAUAUUGGUUUAAUCUCUGGAUCAUUCUCUUGCAUAGCAGCGAUUUCUUCAGCGGAAUGCACCUUCAGCCAAUGGGAAAUAUCUUGCCAAACUCCCUUGUAUUCCCACACCAUGUCUUCAGCUCUCUUGCGACAUUUACGACAGGGCCCAUACUUCAGUGGUUCGCUCGUGUCAACUCCGUGGCAUGUACAAUCCUUUGGGGUUUCGCACCUGGACAAGGCAUCACAGUGACCUUGCUUAUGCCCUGGUCUUUACUCAAUCGCAAAGUCGUAGUGCGACAAUAUCUCAAUCCACCGGGCUAUCUUCCCUCUCGGCUCUUUUAAUUGAAACAACCAAAUCAAUGCCUAGUGGUCAGUUCGAACCCUAAAAUGCCUCCCCAACAAAUACUGUCUAAAAUAUUCUAUGAAGUAUCCCACUGCAAGACGUUCCAGCUCUGUAAUGCAAUUGUUUUGCUCUGCUUUGUUCAACAACCUGCUAACAUAAGCUAUUACUUAGUAGCCCUACCCUCCUGUAUCUGAGACAGCACAGCUCCUAUUUCAAUGCCAGAUCCGUCUGUGUCCAGAAUAAAUUCUCCCCCUUUGUUCAAUGGGUAGCCCAUUAUUUCCGGCCCAACUAAAGCACUUUUUAACUGCUCGAACGAGCGAGUGCACGCUUCGGUCCAAACGAAAGGUUUUCCCUUUCUUUGUCAGUUCAACCAUCGGUCGUGACUUUUCUACAAAACCCUUGAUCCCAUGGCUACGAACUGCUUAAUUUGCUUUGCGUUAUUUGGUUGUGGCACAUCCAAGAUUUUUGCUAUGUUAAUGGGAUUAGGCCUUACUCCACGUCUAGACACUACAUGACCAAGGAAUGUAACUUCCUCCUGGAGUAGCUCACAUUUGCUUGGUUUCACCUUAAGGCCUGCUUCUCGCAGCCGCUUCAACACCUGCUCAACUCGUACCAUAUGCUCCGUGAAAGUAGCUCCAAAUACCACUAUGUCGUCUAUAUAUAUAAGACAAGUUUCCCAUUGAAGCCCCUGCAAAGAGAGUUCCAUAGUCCUUUGAAAUGUAUUAGCUGCACAUUUCAUUGUCC